Ctenopharyngodon idella (grass carp) is the source of this 2727-nucleotide long non-coding RNA. RefSeq lists it as uncharacterized. The record is from RefSeq and is a predicted model, not a curated record. NCBI's taxonomy places the organism in Eukaryota, Metazoa, Chordata, Actinopteri, Cypriniformes, Xenocyprididae. The transcript has 5 exons.
UUGAGACUAACCUAAUAUCUAUAUCAAAAGCUUGAUAUAACUGCCUAUGAGCACGCUUUCAAAUAAAAUAAUGUGGCUGAAUGUUUGUAAAAACAACAAUAAAUAUUUAAGUUAUAAAAGUUUAAGUUAUACAAUUAGUAAAUUAUAAAAGUGCCACAAUUGUCCCACUAUCACGUGCUGGGGUGGCAUUUUGCUCCUAUGAACGGGUCAUAAAACUACAAAAUGAGUUUUAAAUUCAUGAUUUAAUAUUAAUGAGAUUUUUAUGUAAUGUUUUAAUUCUAGAUGUGUAUUUAUGUGAAUGCUGCAUGACUAUGACGUGUUUUAAUGCGUGUGCGCGCCGAACAUUCGAACCGCUUUCACUGGAGCGGCGCAGAGUUGCCAUGGAAACGGAGAAACAACAACUGACAAGCAGCAAAAACAGCAGUCUCUCGCUGUUGUUUUCACUCCUUUCAAAAACAGUUUAGUGUCUUCGAAAAACUCCGUUAGCAUCCCGUUUUCAGAAGAGCAGCAACAAAAUAACCCCUCUACAACAGAGGGGAAGCUCCGAAGAUUUCAACAUUUCUGAAGGAAGAUGCUGACAGAAGAAGGAAACACAGAUACUUCCCUGCUGAUGCCCUGCACCAUAGCAGAGUUGGAGCGGAUAAAAAAGUUCCUGUCGGACCACAUGACUAGAUGCCCAGCAAGGUUACUAGGAUUACGGCAGCUCAAGUUUGGAUCCAGCCUCACUUGUGAAGACUUCAGAUACUAGAUGGACAUCUAGUUAAAAUAGUCAACGUGACUACAGUGGUUCAAAAAGUAUUCUCGUUGCUUCAUAACAUUAAGAUCGAACCACUGUAGUCAGGUUGACUAUUUUAACCAUUUUUUCAACUACCUUUCUGGAUGUCAAAAGGUGCAAUGUCUUUGCUGCCUAUGUGUGGAUCAGAUACCCUCGGAUUUCAUCAGAAAUAUCUUAAUUUGUGUUCCGAAGAUGAACAAAGGUCUUACAGGUGUGGAACGACUAGAGGAUGAGUAAUUAAUGACAGAAAUUUCAUUUUUGGGUGAACUAACCCUUUAAGCCUUGUCUGUGAAACCGGGCAAGUGCCUCGAAGGGAAGGUUUGCAUGACAGUUUUGCUGACAAAUAGACAGUGAUAUCUCUAUGGAAGCUUGUUGCCGUCACUGAAUAAAAAUAGGUAAUUGUAGGGCUGCACGGUUUAUUGCACAAUAUGGAAAAUAUCAUUGAACUUGAAUGCAAUUAUCACUUAAACGCAAUUCUUAGUUCGAUUAUGAAAUCGCAAAGGCUGCGAUUUUUUUUAUUUUUUUAUGCGCAGCUUGUCAAUGAAGUAUGGCUCCAAAUGCUAAUCCACCUGAAAGCACUGCGAGUUUGAGUCGCUUAUAAUGUACAUUUGAAAAAGCAACAAGCGUCAAACAUCUUUCCAGACAUGAGAAGCAUUUAUUAACAUCUUGUCCAACAAAAGACAACAUUUAAUAACAUGUCUUUACUCCAAACUCACUUCAUAACGAGUUUAGCAGCCUUCUGUGAGAUGAUGUGGCUUCUUACACAGAAUAAGGCAGUCGUGUGUUUAUUAGUCAUGUUUAAUCAAUCGAAACGUUUCAAUCUUCUGUUUAUUCAGCUAUAGCGAUAUGAUGAGUGUUAUCCUCUUCUGCUGCAGGGCAUAUGUUGAGUUUCUGCACAAGAGCGCCCUCUGGUUUUCAGAUGGAGAGGCAUUUACUACUGGUCAGAGCCGUACAGCUCUGACAAGCUGCGUAUAAAAUAAUUGCAGCCUUUGCCAGAUCGCGUGCGAUUUAAUCGUGAUAAAUCAUGCAGCCCUAGGUAAUUGCGACUUUCUAUCACGCAAUUCUGACUUUAUAUCAUGCAAUUCUGACUUUAUAACUUGCAAUUGUGAUAUUUAAAUCUUGCAAUUCUGAGAAAAAGUCAGAAUUGUGAGAUAAAAAGUCGCAAUUACCUUUUUUUAUUUUUUAUUUCAUGGCGGAAACAAGCUUCCAUAUAUGUCAGUACAUGUAACUCAGAGAAAGAUUAAACAUUCUCCAUUUACAUAUAUGACCAACAUUGUAACAAUACAAAGUGUUAAAAAUCUGCAAACUUGCUCUUUAAAAAUGUUGAAGAUAGCAUCCUUUUGUCUGUUUUACUGAACACGACUUUAAACAUGACUUUAAAUUGACUUUAUCUUAGAGCUAUUGUCAUAUGGACAUUACUGGUACUUUGUUGCCAGAAGAUGCACCUCAGUGAGUCACAGUCACCUCUGGCUGAUUAAAGGAUAUUUUGCAAUUGUAUAAUCUUGAACAUGCAUUUUCUGUAAAGCUGCUUUGAAACUAAUAUAUAAAAAAGCACUAUAUGGUUUUACUAUGGUAAAACUGUAGCAACUAUGUUUUUUUUUUCUUCAAAUCAUGGUUCUACUAUUGUAAUAUUGCAGUAAUACUAGAGUAAAAGUAUGGUUAUCAUGACUAGUAACCAUAGGUUUUGAAACCAUGCGUUUUGUAGUUAUGGUUUUACAACAACAAUCAUAGAUAAACCAUAGUUGUAGUAAAACCAUGGUUCAUUUUGUUGUUUUUACUGCAAAUGCUGUGGUAAAACCAAGGUUAAUUUAGAAAUAAACGUGAAUUUAAUGCUCCUAAUUUACUUGACUAAUAGUCACGUUGGAUAAAAUCAUCUGAUAAAUGAAUAAAUGUAUGUAUUUUAAUCUGUUCAUUGAAAAUGUAUUUAAAAAUAAAUUUGCAACUGCUAUUGA